RNAcentral lists this ribosomal RNA (807 nucleotides) under uncultured bacterium. RNAcentral's name for it is "bacterial SSU rRNA". It matches the Rfam family "Bacterial small subunit ribosomal RNA", at positions 60 to 873 of the family's 1533-position model. The record is from RNAcentral.
AGUCGAGGGGUAUGGUUCUUCGGAACCAGAGACCGGCGCACGGGUGCGUAACGCGUAUGCAAUCUGCCUUUCACAGAGGGAUAGCCCAGAGAAAUUUGGAUUAAUACCUCAUAGUAUAGCGACAUCGCAUGAUGAUGCUAUUAAAGUCACAACGGUGAAAGAUGAGCAUGCGUCCCAUUAGCUAGUUGGUAAGGUAACGGCUUACCAAGGCAACGAUGGGUAGGGGUCCUGAGAGGGAGAUCCCCCACACUGGUACUGAGACACGGACCAGACUCCUACGGGAGGCAGCAGUGAGGAAUAUUGGUCAAUGGGCGCAAGCCUGAACCAGCCAUGCCGCGUGCAGGAUGACGGUCCUAUGGAUUGUAAACUGCUUUUGCACAGGAAGAAACACUGAUUCGUGAAUCAGCUUGACGGUACUGUGAGAAUAAGGAUCGGCUAACUCCGUGCCAGCAGCCGCGGUAAUACGGAGGAUCCAAGCGUUAUCCGGAAUCAUUGGGUUUAAAGGGUCCGUAGGCGGUCUGGUAAGUCAGUGGUGAAAGCCCAUCGCUCAACGGUGGAACGGCCAUUGAUACUGCUGGACUUGAAUUAUUAGGAAGUAACUAGAAUAUGUAGUGUAGCGGUGAAAUGCUUAGAGAUUACAUGGAAUACCAAUUGCGAAGGCAGGUUACUACUAAUGGAUUGACGCUGAUGGACGAAAGCGUGGGUAGCGAACAGGAUUAGAUACCCUGGUAGUCCACGCCGUAAACGAUGGAUACUAGCUGUUGGAAGCAAUUUCAGUGGCUAAGCGAAAGUGAUAAGUAUCCCACC